Lagenorhynchus albirostris (white-beaked dolphin) is the source of this 1407-nucleotide long non-coding RNA. RefSeq lists it as uncharacterized. Lineage: Eukaryota; Metazoa; Chordata; Mammalia; Artiodactyla; Delphinidae. The record is from RefSeq and is a predicted model, not a curated record. The transcript is spliced from 5 exons.
UGUUCCUCUCUGAGAUGCCCCAGAUGCUGAAGGGCAUGCUGCAGAACCACCUUCCUACGGUGGGCACCCCUCCCCGUGCUGCCCUGCAUCCCCGUUCCUGAGACCUCCCAGGACGGGGCUUGGGAAGGGUGCCUGCGGGGGAGGUGGUGCUUGGCUCCACCCCGGGGACAACAUUGAGACCCUGGCCUUGGAGUUGGACUUUUGGACUAAGAACAGGAACAUCUCUGUGAGCUCCAGGGGAAAGAGCUACGUCCUGCAUUGAUAUAUCCUUUACAGGGGACCCAGUACCCGGGCCUCUCACUGUUGUGGCCUCUCCCGUUGCGGAGCACAGGCUCCGGACGCGCAGGCUCAGCGGCCAUGGCUCACGGGCCCAGCCGCUCCACGGCAUGUGGGAUCUUCCCGGACCGGGGCACGAACCCGUGUCCCCUGCAUCGGCAGGCGGACUCUCAACCACUGCGCCACCAGGGAAGCCCAUGACCAGCUUUUUUAAAAGGUUGAUUUUCCAGGCUCCCCUGCAGUCAGGGUUAGCUGGGGACCCAGUUCUGACACCUAUAAGUGAAAGCCACUGGAAGAGGCUCCUGGGAAAACUCCUUAGGAGGGGGAGGACUCAGCCGGCUUUGCUCUUGGCCUUUUGCCCUUCCCCCUCCUUCUUGCCUUGAGCACAGAUGAAGUGCUUGGAUCUGCAGAAGCCACCUUGCAACCACAAAGCAAUGAACCCAAGGCUGAAAACCACAGGCUUAAGAUGGCAGAGCAGAAAGAGAGACUGGCCCCUCGAUGGUACCUGUCCUAAUGUCCCAGCAAUGUUGCAGUGAUCCUGGCCUAACCUCAGUCCGGCUCUGGGUGUCAGAGGCAGAUCGACCCAUCUAUCUGGAUCAGGUGCCUGGCCCACCUUCCUCACAGCUUUGGAAACCAACUCCAGAGCCCCAGAGUCCCCAUCAGCACUUGUGCCAACAGCUCCUGGCAUCCUCACGGGCAGUGAAGCCAGGAUGGGUUUUCUGCAAGAAGGACGUGGUUUGGUCAGCCUGGAGAGGAUGGGCCUGGAAGGAUCUUCUGACGUCGAAGUUUUCAGGCUCUACCAAAGAAGACAUACAGAUGGCCAGUAGGCACAUGAAAAGAUGCUCAACAUCACUAAUUAUUAGAGAAAUGCAAAUCAAAACUACAGUGAGGUACCACCUCACACCGGUCAGAAUGGCCGGUCAAAAAGUCUACAAAUAACAAAUGCUGGAGAGGGUGUGGAGAAAGGGGAACCCUCCUGCACUGUUGGUGGCAAUCCAUGCUGCGUGACAUGUGGGAUCUCAGUUCCCCGACCAGGGAUUGAACCCAUGCCCCCUGCAGUGGAAGCACGGAGUCUUAAGCACUGGACCACCAGGGAAGUCCGAGCCUCUUUUAUUAUUUUUUCUACUUGUA